RNAcentral lists this ribosomal RNA (408 nucleotides) under Triticum aestivum (bread wheat). RNAcentral's name for it is "partial small subunit ribosomal RNA". Lineage: Eukaryota; Viridiplantae; Streptophyta; Magnoliopsida; Poales; Poaceae. The record is from RNAcentral.
AUGGGAGUUUUGUACAUGAGGAUAGAUCCUGAUACAAUGACUCUUGACAUGGGUGAGGAUAAUAAGAAGCUUCACAUUAGUAGCGAUGGUAUACAACAAUUAUUUGGUUUUCCUCGUGGUGGUCGUUCUGCGCCAAGGCCGUCAGAGGACGGAUAUGACGACGCUCUGAUGAAGUUAAGAAUGGAGCUUGACAUUAGCAGGAACAAAGAUAUCAGGACAAAGGAUUUGAGGAAUAAGCUCAAGGUGCUCGUCAAGGAUCCUAGCAAAGAUGACCUUGCUCUGAAAGUGUUCUUCAUUAUUGUGUUUAUGAAGGUUGUGUUGCCUGGUUCUGCCCCGCGUGUUUCCAGAGAGUCAACAAUGUUUGAGGGUCUCGUCUUUGAGGACAUGGCUAAAAUUGAUUAUUGCUAG